RNAcentral lists this long non-coding RNA (1389 nucleotides) under Helianthus annuus (common sunflower). Its description in RNAcentral is "hypothetical non coding rna". The record is from RNAcentral. Lineage: Eukaryota; Viridiplantae; Streptophyta; Magnoliopsida; Asterales; Asteraceae.
AUGAUUGUAGAAAGAAAGCUUGAGGGGUAGUUAUGACAUUCUAUAAAGGUGAAGGGUUGUCAGUCAAUAAAGUGUAGGGACUGAUUGUGCUAAUCAGAAAGUUAGGUUGUUAAUUAACCCUUGUUAACAGUUUAAAAGGUGGAGAGCAGCUCAGAAUUAGGGUUAGACUAAGUUUUGCUAAUUCGUUUCAUUCUCUUAGUAAUUCCUUUGUUCUUCAUAUUGUAAUUCGACUUCAUGUCUAAUAAGAUCUAAUCGUUCGAAGAGUUCAGCUUGGUUAAUGUUCUUUGGUGUUAUUCUUAACAAAUGUAAGUUGUAAACACUCCACUAUUCUUGAAAACGUGUCUUCUUUUUGUAGCCCUGACUAAUUGCAUAAGUGGAAACUGUGAGGUUAUAAACACUCGCCUACGUGUCCGACGCCACAAGGAUGACAUUGAGGACAUUUUUGCCUUAUGUGGUGUAACUACCCUAGUGACGCUCUAGGGAGACUCAAGUCGCUCCUCAUUAAGGAUUAAAAUGAUUUGCUAAACUAGUCACUUUGUUGCUCUAUCAAGGUCUUGGUGAUUUAAAUAGAAAAAAACACCUUUUAUUGGUUCAUAAUGUCCUCAACAUUUGGAAUUUGAAGAAUGCAAUCCGAAACCUGUAUUUGCCAGCACAUGCCUCGCAAGUGUGAUUCAUCAUUCACAUAGGAGGAAGGUUCAACCUCGAAAAGACCCAUUUUUUAAAUUUUGUGCAUCUUUGGCAAGUAUCAUACACUAAAAAAGACAACUCAUAUCAAUCAAAUAUAAGGUAGUUCUAUGUGCAUUUAGGUUAUCCAGCCAGUUAAAAGACUCGAGUAGCAGUUCAUGUGCCAGUUGCAUCUUAUUCCAACUGUAUCAAGGUAAUUUUUCCUCACUAGAGCACCCAGCAUCUCGUGAAUAUCAUCACCUACGAAAUACCAAAGACCAACAAACACACGACGACAGAUUGUUGAGGUCAACACUUCCAAAAUACUGCUGCCAAUUUUUUCAAAGCGGUGGCAUCUUUCACUUAUCGAUUGUAAGAUUGCAAGACUAUUGACAGUGGGUUGCUACGGUUUUAAAUUUUUGCAGAUUACUAGUUGAUACAUCUCGGUACCAACGAAGCGUUUAUCCGAGCUCAGAUCCUAGAAAUAUGUCAUAAAGAUUGGGUAAUAUAUGCAUACUGAUUAGGGAUUUUUGUAAGAAGUUUGUAAUCAAGUAUCACCACCACACUGUUGACACUAACUGGUAUAUGUCUGUAUGGGUCCCUUUUGUCACUCAGCUCAUAGAACUAGGGCUUCCUGUAUAAACAAAUGAAACCCUAGAUUUGCUAAUUGCUAUGAAUGAGUGAUUGUUAAUUACCUUUUGGUAGAGAGAAUUCAAUAUUUUUCUU